AACCUGCCACUGUGUAAAGAGACAGACUACUACUUUGAGUACACAGAGUGUGACAGCACAGGCUCCAGAUGGAGAGUUGCCAUUCCUCACAGACAGGGAAGCUGCUCAGGCCUUCCAGAGCCUGUCAGAGGCACAGACUGCACUUUUUCUUGUGAAGCUGGGGAGUUUU
Long non-coding RNA from Puntigrus tetrazona (Sumatra barb), 169 nucleotides. RefSeq lists it as uncharacterized. The transcript has 3 exons. Lineage: Eukaryota; Metazoa; Chordata; Actinopteri; Cypriniformes; Cyprinidae. The record is from RefSeq and is a predicted model, not a curated record.